AGAGUUUGAUCAUGGCUCAGGAUGAACGCUGGCGGCGUGGAUAAGGCAUGCAAGUCAAGGGGGUCCCGCAAGGGACAACCGGCGAACGAGGUAGUAACACGUAGGUACGCGCACUGAAGUCUAGUAUAGCUUCUCGAAAGAGGGGGUAAUCCUAGAUAGUCUCGAAAGAGUAAAGUUUUUUCGCUUCAGGAGCGGCCUGCGGAGUAUCAGCUAGUUGGUAAGGUAAUGGCUUACCAAGGCUAUGACGCUUAGGGGAGGUGAGAGCCUGACCCCCACCGAUGGGACUGAGACACGGCCCAUACACCUACGGGUGGCUGCAGUCGAGAAUCUUCCGCAAUGGGCGAAAGCCUGACGGAGCGACGCCGCGUGGUUGAUGAAGUGCUUCGGCACGUAAAAACCUUUUAUGAGGGAGAAAUUUCGAUGAUAGUACCUCAUGAAUAAGGAGCUCCAAACUCUGUGCCAGCAGGAGCGGUAAUACAGAGGCUCCAAGCGUUAUCCGGAAUCACUGGGCGUAAAGGGUGUGUAGGUGGUCUAGUUAGUCUUUUGUUAAAGCUCCCGGCCCAACCGGGAAAAAGCAAAAGAAACGGCUAGACUAGAGGAUGCGAGAGGUGCGUGGAACUCAUGGAGUAGGGGUGAAAUCCGUUGAUACCAUGGGGAACACCAAAAGCGAAGGCAGCGCACUGGCGCACUCCUGACACUGAAACACGAAAGCGUAGGUAGCGAAUGGGAUUAGAUACCCUAGUAGUCC
This 748-nucleotide ribosomal RNA is filed under the name uncultured bacterium. RNAcentral's name for it is "bacterial SSU rRNA". It matches the Rfam family "Bacterial small subunit ribosomal RNA", at positions 8 to 796 of the family's 1533-position model. The record is from RNAcentral.